AUUGAACGCUGGCGGCAGGCCUAACACAUGCAAGUCGAGCGGAUGAAGGGAGCUUGCUCCUGGAUUCAGCGGCGGACGGGUGAGUAAUGCCUAGGAAUCUGCCUGGUAGUGGGGGAUAACGUCCGGAAACGGGUGCUAAUACCGCAUACGUCCUGAGGGAGAAAGUGGGGGAUAUUCGGACCUCACGCUAUCAGAUGAGACUAGGUCGGAUUAGCUAGUUGGUGGGGUAAAGGCCUACCAAGGCGACGAUCCGUAACUGGUCUGAGAGGAUGAUCAGUCACACUAGAACUGUGAAACGCUCCGGACUCCUACGGGAGGCAGCAGUCGGGAAUAUUGGACGAUGGGCGAAAACCUGAUCCAGCCAUGCCGCGUGUGUGAAGAAGGUGUUCGGAUUGUAAAGCACUUUAAGUUGGGAGGAAGGGCAGUAAGUUAAUACCUUGCUGUUUUGACGUUACCAACAGAAUAAGCACCGGCUAACUUCGUG
This 484-nucleotide ribosomal RNA is filed under the name uncultured bacterium. RNAcentral describes it as "partial 16S ribosomal RNA". It matches the Rfam family "Bacterial small subunit ribosomal RNA", at positions 30 to 507 of the family's 1533-position model. The record is from RNAcentral.